AGUGAACGCUGGCGGUAGGCCUAACACAUGCAAGUCGAACGGCAGCACAGUAAGAGCUUGCUCUUACGGGUGGCGAGUGGCGGACGGGUGAGGAAUACAUCGGAAUCUACCUUUUCGUGGGGGAUAACGUAGGGAAACUUACGCUAAUACCGCAUACGACCUACGGGUGAAAGCAGGGGAUCUUCGGACCUUGCGCGAUUGAAUGAGCCGAUGUCGGAUUAGCUAGUUGGCGGGGUAAAGGCCCACCAAGGCGACGAUGCGUAGCUGGUCAGAGAGGAUGAAUCGGCCACACGGGAACGAGACACGGGUCCGAACCCUAAGGGAGGGCAGCGGUGGGAAAUUUUGGAAAAGGGGGGAAGCCCGAACCAGGCCAGCCCGGUGGGUGAAAAAGGUCUUUGGGGUUUUAAACCCCUUUUUUGGGGAAAAAAAAACAGGGAGUUAACUCCCCGCUGUUUGAACGGAACCCAAAAAAAAGGCACCGGCAAACCCGUG
RNAcentral lists this ribosomal RNA (492 nucleotides) under uncultured bacterium. RNAcentral's name for it is "partial 16S ribosomal RNA". It matches the Rfam family "Bacterial small subunit ribosomal RNA", at positions 29 to 507 of the family's 1533-position model. The record is from RNAcentral.